UACAGAGGGUGCAAACGUUGCUCGGAAUCACUGGGCGUAAAGGGCGUGUAGGCGGGAAGGAAAGUCAGAUGUUAAAUCCCCAGGCUCAACCUGGGAACUGCAUUUGAAACUCCCUUUCUUGAGUACCGGAGAGGAAAGUGGAAUUCCUGGUGUAGAGGUGAAAUUCGUAGAUAUCAGGAGGAACACCAGUGGCGAAGGCGGCUUUCUGGACGGUAACUGACGCUGAGACGCGAAAGCGUGGGGAGCAAACAGG
RNAcentral lists this ribosomal RNA (253 nucleotides) under uncultured bacterium. RNAcentral describes it as "partial 16S ribosomal RNA". It matches the Rfam family "Bacterial small subunit ribosomal RNA", at positions 524 to 776 of the family's 1533-position model. The record is from RNAcentral.